This 76-nucleotide transfer RNA is filed under the name Patescibacteria group bacterium. RNAcentral's name for it is "tRNA-Thr". It matches the Rfam family "tRNA". Rfam says of the family: Transfer RNA (tRNA) molecules are approximately 80 nucleotides in length. Their secondary structure includes four short double-helical elements and three loops (D, anti-codon, and T loops). Further hydrogen bonds mediate the characteristic L-shaped molecular structure. tRNAs have two regions of fundamental functional importance: the anti-codon, which is responsible for specific mRNA codon recognition, and the 3' end, to which the tRNAs corresponding amino acid is attached (by aminoacyl-tRNA synthetases). tRNAs cope with the degeneracy of the genetic code in two manners: having more than one tRNA (with a specific anti-codon) for a particular amino acid; and 'wobble' base-pairing, i.e. permitting non-standard base-pairing at the 3rd anti-codon position. The record is from RNAcentral.
GCCGAAAUAGCUCAGCUGGUAGAGCAACGGUUUUGUAAACCGUAGGUCGUCGGUUCGAGUCCGACUUUCGGCUCCA